UGGGGAAUAUUGGACAAUGGGCGAAAGCCUGAUCCAGCAAUGUCGCGUGAAUGAUGAAGGCCUUAGGGUUGUAAAGUUCUUUCGGUGGGGAAGAUAAUGACGGUACCCACAUAAGAAGCUCCGGCUAACUCCGUGCCAGCAGCCGCGGUAAUACGGAGGGAGCUAGCGUUGUUCGGAAUUACUGGGCGUAAAGAGCGCGUAGGCGGCUAACUAAGUUGGGAGUGAAAUCCCAGGGCUUAACCCUGGAAUGGCUUUCAAAACUGGUUAGCUAGAGGACGAUAGAGGAUGGUGGAAUUCCUAGUGUAGAGGUGAAAUUCUUAGAUAUUAGGAGGAACAUCGGAGGCGAAGGCGACCAUCUGGGUCGUAUCUGACGCUGAGGCGCGAAAGCGUGGGGAGCAAACAGGAUUAGAUACCCGUGUAGUCC
Molecule: ribosomal RNA, 424 nt
Filed under: uncultured bacterium
Lineage: Bacteria
Description: bacterial SSU rRNA
Rfam family: Bacterial small subunit ribosomal RNA
Source: RNAcentral